GCUUACGCCCACCUCUCCCUGAGCACCCGCCCGAUCUCGUCUGAUCUCGGAAGCUAAGCAGGUCGGGCCCGGUUAGUACUUGGAUGGGAGACCGCCUGGGAAUACCAGGUGCUGUAAGCC
This 120-nucleotide ribosomal RNA is filed under the name Esox lucius (northern pike). The record is from RNAcentral. Lineage: Eukaryota; Metazoa; Chordata; Actinopteri; Esociformes; Esocidae.